UACGUAGGGUGCAAGCGUUGUCCGGAAUUAUUGGGCGUAAAGAGCUCGUAGGCGGUCUGUCGCGUCUGCUGUGAAAACUCAGGGCUUAACCCUGAGCUUGCAGUGGGUACGGGCAGACUAGAGUGCGGUAGGGGAGACUGGAAUUCCUGGUGUAGCGGUGAAAUGCGCAGAUAUCAGGAGGAACACCGAUGGCGAAGGCAGUGGUCUGGGCCGAUACUGACGCUGAGGAGCGAAAGCGUGGGGAGCGAACAGG
Molecule: ribosomal RNA, 253 nt
Filed under: uncultured bacterium
Lineage: Bacteria
Description: partial 16S ribosomal RNA
Rfam family: Bacterial small subunit ribosomal RNA
Source: RNAcentral